ACCCCUAGCAAAUCUCAAAAAACCGUCUCAGUUCGGAUUGUACUCUGCAACUCGAGUACAUGAAGGUGGAAUCGCUAGUAAUCGUAGAUCAGAACGCUACGGUGAAUACGUUCCCGGGCCUUGUACACACCGCCCGUCACACCAUGGGAGUUGGUUUUACCCGAAGGCGUUUCGCUAACCGCAAGGAGGCAGGCGACCACGGUAGGGUCAGCGACUGGGGUGAAG
RNAcentral lists this ribosomal RNA (225 nucleotides) under uncultured bacterium. Its description in RNAcentral is "partial 16S ribosomal RNA". It matches the Rfam family "Bacterial small subunit ribosomal RNA", at positions 1260 to 1485 of the family's 1533-position model. The record is from RNAcentral.